AGAAGAAGCAGAUACAGCUAUUCCACUGCGCCGAGUCAGAAGAUCUCGCUCGUAAGAUCGCCGACCAAUCCGAGGCCAUACAGCUCCAGGCAAUCACUUGGAGGAGCUUUGCUGAUGGAUUCCCAAAUCUUUUCAUCAACAAUGCACAUGAUAUUAGGGGACAGCAUGUUGCUUUUUUAGCCUCUUUCAGCUCUCCCGGGGUCAUCUUUGAGCAGAUAUCUGUCAUCUUUGCUUUGCCAAAACUUUU
Molecule: unclassified non-coding RNA, 247 nt
Filed under: Hevea brasiliensis (rubber tree)
Lineage: Eukaryota; Viridiplantae; Streptophyta; Magnoliopsida; Malpighiales; Euphorbiaceae
Source: RNAcentral